This 447-nucleotide ribosomal RNA is filed under the name uncultured bacterium. RNAcentral's name for it is "partial 16S ribosomal RNA". It matches the Rfam family "Bacterial small subunit ribosomal RNA", at positions 28 to 523 of the family's 1533-position model. The record is from RNAcentral.
GACGAACGCUGGCGGCAGGCUUAACACAUGCAAGUCGAACGCCCCGCAAGGGUAGUGGCAGACGGGUGAGUAACACGUGGGAACGUACCCUUUGGUUCGGAAUAACUUGGGGAAACUCAAGCUAAUACCGGAUAAGCCCUUAUGGGGAAAGGUUUACUGCCGAAGGAUCGGCCCGCGUCUGAUUAGCUAGUUGGUGAGGUAAUGGCUCACCAAGGCGACGAUCAGUAGCUGGUCUGAGAGGAUGAUCAGCCACACUGGGACUGAGACACGGCCCAGACUCCUACGGGAGGCAGCAGUGGGGAAUAUUGGACAAUGGGGGCAACCCUGAUCCAGCCAUGCCGCGUGAGUGAUGAAGGCCUUAGGGUUGUAAAGCUCUUUUACCCGGGACGAUAAUGACUGUACCGGGAGAAUAAGCCCCGGCUAACUUCGUGCCAGCCGCCGCGGUAA